ACCCGCACCCUUUUAUAACCACGUGUUUCGUAAAAGCACACUUUUUGUAAAUGCUUUAUAUAUUCACAAGACGUGUAUGAUCGGGUCUGUUCUUGCAGGUGACUACCCACAUACACAUACACACCACCCCCGGGGAUUUACAUUGGAUUUCUACAUUACACAACAAAUCCACGAUCGUGAUGCUCCAGAUUUGCUUUAAUCUCGAUUUGAUAAAUACAUCAGAGGAGUGGUGACGUUUUUAACCUUUAUCUCGUGAUUCAUCUCUCUUCUCGCUGCCACACGCAGACACUACUAGAGAUCAGAGAUGUCCCAAACACACAUGCACACACUUUUAGGUUUCAAAUGGAGGGAUGAAAUGCUUUAAUCUGCAGGAAGAGAAUGAAGCAUCUCAAACUAUGUGCUUCCUAAGAGACUUUAAAAGCUAAAAAUGGCAAAGCAAUGCAGCAACAUAAUUAUUUGCUGCAUUUUGGUGAUCUGAGCUCUUGUUUUAGAAAGAUGCGGUAACCCCUUUCGGCUCCUUCUCCUGUGUAGUAUUGUUACACCUACCUUUCUCCAGGUCUGUGAUUCUCUGGUGCAGCGACGUGAGGGUGGACUCAACUCUCCCACGCUGCUCUGUCUCAUUCCGGAGUCCAGGUUUCCCCUCCUCGAUGCUGUUCACUCGGGACAACACCUGCUUCUCCAAGUCGUCGAUUUUGCUUUGGAGCAGGUCUUUGAGGCUGUUGGCCUGCACCGAGUUGUUACUUCGACUGAAUUGCUGUCCAAGGGGACAAAAGAUCAGGAAGCUUUCCCGGACAUGAGCGAGCGAAAAGUGGACCUUUGACACUGAACAACGUGUCAACAACCAGGAGCAAGCCCAUGUUCUACUGAUCGAUGGAGAGAAGUUUCAAUGCAGCAAUCAAUGAGUGUAUGUUAAAGACGUGACCAUGCGAGGCAGAUGGACUCACAGAACUACGGGCUUCUUACCUCCCGAGUCCAUCUCACCAUCCCAGUUUAAACUGAUACGACUGUGGCC
Molecule: long non-coding RNA, 1012 nt
Organism: Dunckerocampus dactyliophorus (ringed pipefish)
Lineage: Eukaryota; Metazoa; Chordata; Actinopteri; Syngnathiformes; Syngnathidae
Exons: 3
Source: RefSeq, a predicted model, not a curated record